CCUUCCCUGAUCCUGAGGAGUUCUGCAGGAUUCAGGCAUAUUUGAACGUUUGAGGCACGAUGGAGUCACAUGGGAGGGUCCCUCCAGAUUCAGAGGUUACGUAAGUGACAUGAGCAUGUGUCCGUGAUCCUAGUACUCAAAAUAGUUGAUGUCAGAUCUAUCAUGAGGUCUGAUCAGGUGACCAGCGGUCUGAACAGGUGACCAGCGGUCUGAACAGGUGACCAGCGGUCUGAACAGGUGACCAGCGGUCUGAUCAGGUGACCAGCGGUCUGAUCAGGUGACCAGCGGUAUGAACAGGUGACCAGCGGUCUGAUCAGGUGACCAGCGGUAUGAACACACGUCCUGUGUCUCCACAGUAUCGCUGCCUGUUCCUAAACAGGAGCAUUUCUACGAUCACCAGAGUGGUUCCGGUUACCUGGAACGGAGCUUAAACUGUCCAGCGACACUUGAAGAUCAAGGAAUCCAAGGCUGCUUUUCCAGGUGGCUGUUUGCUUAAUUUUCACCUUCUGUUCCCAUUAAAUCCUGGAGAGCCGUCGCUAUGCUGACGAUGGUCAGGGACAGUGGAGACUAGAGUUCAUGCGUCUUUUGGGCCUUUUUAUAUGUUCUGUGAGAUCUGCCCAAAGUGUAAUUAGUAAUUUGGUCAUUUAACCUAGAAAUGUGAUGUUAUCUGGGAAUUCCCAGGAUAGUUGAGUCCGUUUAAAAGGAACGUGUCAUCAGUUUAUCUGGUUAUCACGUGGCAGUGCGUAUUGAGUUUUGAAUAUGACACAUUUCACUGGUUCAUCUCCUUGUGCAACUUCUUCCCGUUCCUCCAGACCACCGUGCUGAUGUCGGAGCCAGAAUUCUUCACGGCGCUGUUGGAGGAGGAACACAUCUUGGACUGUCCCGUUACACCUGCAAGGUUUACAGUGAAACCACGGAGUUGACGGGAGCACGGACGACACGACCGCCGUGAACUGCUCGGGCAGCGUUCCCACCGCCAGCCUCAGAAGUGCAGCGUCACGCCGGCUUCCCCGCUGCACAUAAACGCAGGCGACUCUUACAAUUACCGACACUUUCAUGCGUUCCAGUCGGCGGUUGGUGAGGAAGAGGGGGCCAAUCGCUUCUAUUUAAGAGGUAUUUGUUUUGGAGCAGGGGGAAGCGGAAUUCUUUAUACACAUGGCCUUUUUUUUAACAAAUGUAUGAGAAGAAUCCCCAUUUUCAAGAAUAAAACUUUUUUUUUUUUAUUAUUGCAUUAACUGUUGUGGACAAAGGCAACAGAAGUGUGAAUAAAAGAGCCGGCGCUGCACUUUUCCUCUCAUUUACACCUAACGCCACAGUAAAAGCUUUCCACGCUUCACUCGGCAUAUGCUAGUGAUUAUUAAUUAGCUUGUUGCCUGCGUUUUGGGUAAUAAGAGAGAGAGAACCAGUAAAACGGUGAGUCCUCCGUCCCGAGGCGAAAGGCCUAUUCAAUUAAACUUUACUGUGUGUUUGUUUUUCAAUAGGAUUUUUAACGCCGGGCUGAUGCAACAUGGAGGCUCGGAGGGAGCCGACGGUUCUCCUGCCCCAAGAACCGCGUGAAACAAAAGCCCACGUUUAAAAAGAGCCCCGGAUUAGAAGAAGCUCAAACAAACCAGACUUGAUUUUUCUUCUACGACGUCUGCCAAGAAGGACGCGUUCCCAGUGCCCGUUGAUUGGCUGGUGUGUUUACUCGUCAAAUUGGAAACAACAGGCUGCUGGAUGGAUGUCGGGAUAAUCUAAUGUCGGAAAAUAAAGAAGAAGCUGCAAAUCCGACUAUAAAGGGACUGUUGGCACGGUUACGCGCUCAGGCGACCGUUUUCAUCUGCUGUGGUCUCCAGAAAACGUCUCCUUUGAGUAAAUAAGUAUAUUUUGGGUUUAAGUUCUGCCUGUUUGCUGAUUAGCUGAUUCUUUGCUGCUGUACAAGGUCCCGCCUGGUGACCCAUUCGUGACGGUGUUCUAUUUUAAAUGUGUUGCUCUCAGUAAAUAAACUAUUCCUUGCCAAGUCUUAAUGGUCCUGUUCUUGGUUUAGACCUGUUUUGGACCGGCACCAGCCACUGUUUUCCAGCAUUCUUGUAUCCACACGUCGUCCUUCUCAUUCUUCCUCCAUAAAACUCCGUAUUUGUGUCUAAAAUAGCAAUAUUUCAUCAUAACUAACACACACACACACACACACGGCUGAUAGCACAAACAGGUUAUUGUCCGCCCCUCUGUGGGGGGGGGGGGGGGGGGGGGUGACAUAUAAGUCAGGUGAUUGGCAGAGGAGAUGUCUUCACAGUGACAGUCUUUCUGCACUUGUGUGUGUGUGUGUGUGUGUGUGUGUGUGUGUGUGUACAGGCUGAUGUGGCAGAACACUGUCUGGGUCACAGAGUCUGUUGGCACCAGAGCUAAUGGACCUGUCCCCAGUGUGUGUGUGUGUGUGUGUGUGUGUGUGAACUGAU
RNAcentral lists this long non-coding RNA (2435 nucleotides) under Takifugu rubripes (torafugu). RNAcentral's name for it is "lncRNA (ENSTRUG00000026284.1)". The record is from RNAcentral. Lineage: Eukaryota; Metazoa; Chordata; Actinopteri; Tetraodontiformes; Tetraodontidae.